RNAcentral lists this ribosomal RNA (465 nucleotides) under uncultured bacterium. RNAcentral's name for it is "partial 16S ribosomal RNA". It matches the Rfam family "Bacterial small subunit ribosomal RNA", at positions 338 to 795 of the family's 1533-position model. The record is from RNAcentral.
CCUACGGGGGGCAGCAGUGAGGAAUAUUGGUCAAUGGGCGAAAGCCUGAUGGAGCAACGCCGCGUGGGUGAAGAAGGUCUUCGGAUCGUAAAACCCUGUUGUUAGAGAAGAAAGUGCGUGAGAGUAACUGUUCACGUUUCGACGGUAUCUAACCAGAAAGCCACGGCUAACUACGUGCCAGCAGCCGCGGUAAUACGUAGGUGGCAAGCGUUAUCCGGCUUUAUUGGGCGUAAAGGGAACGCAGGCGGUCUUUUAAGUCUGAUGUGAAAGCCUUCGGCUUAACCGGAGUAGUGCAUUGGAAACUGGGAGACGUGAGUGCAGAAGAGGAGAGUGGAACUCCAUGUGUAGCGGUGAAAUGCGUAGAUAUAUGGAAGAACACCAGUGGCGAAAGCGGCUCUCUGGUCUGUAACUGACGCUGAGGUUCGAAAGCGUGGGUAGCAAACAGGAUUAGAUACCCUUGUAGUC